This 85-nucleotide transfer RNA is filed under the name Streptomyces parvus. RNAcentral describes it as "tRNA-Ala". The record is from RNAcentral. Lineage: Bacteria; Bacillati; Actinomycetota; Actinomycetes; Kitasatosporales; Streptomycetaceae.
GCGGAGCUGGUCCGGGACGACGGCGUCCGCGUCACCGUCCGGGCGCCGUGGGCCGCACCCGGGGUACGGGACUUCGGCUUCGCCC